RNAcentral lists this ribosomal RNA (570 nucleotides) under Salmonella enterica subsp. enterica serovar Agona str. SA-5. Its description in RNAcentral is "bacterial SSU rRNA". It matches the Rfam family "Bacterial small subunit ribosomal RNA", at positions 1 to 560 of the family's 1533-position model. The record is from RNAcentral. Lineage: Bacteria; Pseudomonadati; Pseudomonadota; Gammaproteobacteria; Enterobacterales; Enterobacteriaceae.
AAAUUGAAGAGUUUGAUCAUGGCUCAGAUUGAACGCUGGCGGCAGGCCUAACACAUGCAAGUCGAACGGUAACAGGAAGCAGCUUGCUGCUUUGCUGACGAGUGGCGGACGGGUGAGUAAUGUCUGGGAAACUGCCUGAUGGAGGGGGAUAACUACUGGAAACGGUGGCUAAUACCGCAUAACGUCGCAAGACCAAAGAGGGGGACCUUCGGGCCUCUUGCCAUCAGAUGUGCCCAGAUGGGAUUAGCUUGUUGGUGAGGUAACGGCUCACCAAGGCGACGAUCCCUAGCUGGUCUGAGAGGAUGACCAGCCACACUGGAACUGAGACACGGUCCAGACUCCUACGGGAGGCAGCAGUGGGGAAUAUUGCACAAUGGGCGCAAGCCUGAUGCAGCCAUGCCGCGUGUAUGAAGAAGGCCUUCGGGUUGUAAAGUACUUUCAGCGGGGAGGAAGGUGUUGUGGUUAAUAACCACAGCAAUUGACGUUACCCGCAGAAGAAGCACCGGCUAACUCCGUGCCAGCAGCCGCGGUAAUACGGAGGGUGCAAGCGUUAAUCGGAAUUACUGGGCG